Molecule: long non-coding RNA, 680 nt
Organism: Salvia splendens (bonfire salvia)
Lineage: Eukaryota; Viridiplantae; Streptophyta; Magnoliopsida; Lamiales; Lamiaceae
Exons: 2
Source: RefSeq, a predicted model, not a curated record
AUUACCUUUGUGUCCUCAAAAAUUUUGAAUCCCCCUCUCCAUAUCAUUUUCAUUUUCAUUUUCAUAUUUUGAGGAUUCGUUUCUCUCUGUACUUCUCACUCCAUCUCUCCACAUACCACCAUCGGGAGACGACCGGCGACCUACCACCAUCCCGUAUCUGCUUGGUAAUAGCACCAGGAAGACCCUGCCGACACUACAAGCUCCGUCGAGGUAGAUCCUGCGAACAAGUAUGCGGGCUUUAAGUGUGUCUUGUAUGUGUUUUUUGAUGAUUAUUUUAACGGUAAAGAAUACGGAAGAGGAUCUGCAGGAUGCAGAGAGGAAAGUGUGUUGGAGUUCAAUGAAAUUCAUCAAGACAGGAAAAGUUUGGAGCGCCGAGAGGAAGAAAUAGCAGCAACUACACUGAAGCAGGAAAAGCUUCAAGGAUGGAGGGGUAGAGAUGGAAAGUUGCUCAAAGAAGGAGGACAAAUGGUCAACCCAUACGCGUUUCUCAUUCACAUAGAAGCUCAAUUAAGAGUGACCAAACAACGACAAUCAUUUGGCAAUUGGUGGGACCAUCCACAUUUAAUUCCAGUCGGUUUUAAAACAUGCAAAACUAAUUACGGUCAACAAAACGAGCCCUAAAUUUAAGUUAAGCUGCAAAUUUAGUAGGGAAAUAAUAAAAGUAGCAAUCAAUUCAUGUA